This 253-nucleotide ribosomal RNA is filed under the name uncultured bacterium. RNAcentral's name for it is "partial 16S ribosomal RNA". It matches the Rfam family "Bacterial small subunit ribosomal RNA", at positions 524 to 776 of the family's 1533-position model. The record is from RNAcentral.
UACGUAGGGGGCAAGCGUUGUCCGGAUUUAUUGGGCGUAAAGAGCGUGUAGGCGGCCGUACAGGUCAGCUGUGAAAACUCGAGGCUCAACCUCGAGACGUCGGUUGAAACCGUACGGCUAGAGUCCGGAAGAGGAGAGUGGAAUUCCCGGUGUAGCGGUGAAAUGCGCAGAUAUCGGGAAGAACACCCGUGGCGAAGGCGGCUCUCUGGGUCCCUACCGACGCUGGGGUGCGAAAGCAUGGGGAGCGAACAGG